AACGUAGGGUGCAAGCGUUGUCCGGAAUUACUGGGUGUAAAGGGAGCGCAGGCGGACCGGCAAGUUGGAAGUGAAAACUAUGGGCUCAACCCAUAAAUUGCUUUCAAAACUGUUGGCCUUGAGUAGUGCAGAGGUAGGUGGAAUUCCCGGUGUAGCGGUGGAAUGCGUAGAUAUCGGGAGGAACACCAGUGGCGAAGGCGACCUACUGGGCAUCAACUGACGCUGAGGCUCGAAAGCAUGGGUAGCAAACAGG
RNAcentral lists this ribosomal RNA (253 nucleotides) under Gemmiger formicilis. RNAcentral's name for it is "partial 16S ribosomal RNA". It matches the Rfam family "Bacterial small subunit ribosomal RNA", at positions 524 to 776 of the family's 1533-position model. Lineage: Bacteria; Bacillati; Bacillota; Clostridia; Eubacteriales; Oscillospiraceae. The record is from RNAcentral.